AUGGUCCUUAGGGAUAUCAGGGAUCUGCUGCAAUCCAUGGGAAAGGAUAUUAAACUCUAUGGACUUCCGAAUCUGGUUGACGCAGAUGGUUCUUCUGACGUUAACAAUACAGAGGUAACAGAGGAGAGACAGGUCAAAGUGGACCAAGAACAUCUAGAUCUAUUCAGCUGUUUGAACAAUGAUCAACUAGCUGGUUUCAAUGACAUAAUGGAUCAUGUGACGAACCAAAAAAGCCAGAUAUUCUUUGUUGACAGUCCAGGAGGCACUAGGAAGAUGUACCUGUACAAGGCAUCCUUGAUAAUUUGGGAUGAAGUUGCUAUGACAAAGUGUCAAGCAGUUGAGACGCUUGAUAGAUCGCUGCAGGAUAUAAUGAAAUGUUCUUUACCAUUUGGUGGAAAGGUUGUCGUCUUUGGUGGCGAUUUCAGGCAAGUCCUCCCUGUUGUGACCUGA
Molecule: ribosomal RNA, 450 nt
Filed under: Triticum aestivum (bread wheat)
Lineage: Eukaryota; Viridiplantae; Streptophyta; Magnoliopsida; Poales; Poaceae
Description: partial small subunit ribosomal RNA
Source: RNAcentral